RNAcentral lists this ribosomal RNA (301 nucleotides) under uncultured bacterium. Its description in RNAcentral is "partial 16S ribosomal RNA". It matches the Rfam family "Bacterial small subunit ribosomal RNA", at positions 509 to 807 of the family's 1533-position model. The record is from RNAcentral.
CAGCAGCCACGGGAAUACGUAGGGUGCAAGCGUUAAUCGGAAUUACUGGGCGUAAAGCGUGCGCAGGCGGUUUGUUAAGACAGAUGUGAAAUCCCCGGGCUCAACCUGGGAACUGCAUUUGUGACUGGCAAGCUAGAGUGUGGCAGAGGGGGGUGGAAUUCCGCGUGUAGCAGUGAAAUGCGUAGAUAUGCGGAGGAACACCGAUGGCGAAGGCAGCCCCCUGGGCCAACACUGACGCUCAUGCACGAAAGCGUGGGGAGCAAACAGGAUUAGAUACCCCCGUAGUCCCUGUCUCUUAUAC